AAACUGCUUACGCUUUCAUAUAUAAUAAGCCCAGAGUUAGGCUUAGUUUGGUAUUGAGGCCGAUAUGACAUUAUUAGAUAAAAUGGAGUUGGGGUAAAAACAUAUACAGAUAUGCUUCUGCAUUUUUCGGUAGGAUCGCAGAAAAUAUAUCAUAACCGACUCAUUGUGAUAUGCGGAAUGCAAUAUUACGUACCGAAACAAACAUGACAUUUUUUCAUCGUAUUUUGUCAUCGCACAUAACGCAAUCUUCCCGCAAUUCCAAACGAAGUCUUAAAGGAGGGACCAAUGAUUCCGUGA
Molecule: long non-coding RNA, 297 nt
Filed under: Ananas comosus (pineapple)
Lineage: Eukaryota; Viridiplantae; Streptophyta; Magnoliopsida; Poales; Bromeliaceae
Description: long non-coding RNA (ACOM_LNC008762)
Source: RNAcentral